This 489-nucleotide ribosomal RNA is filed under the name uncultured bacterium. RNAcentral describes it as "partial 16S ribosomal RNA". It matches the Rfam family "Bacterial small subunit ribosomal RNA", at positions 28 to 507 of the family's 1533-position model. The record is from RNAcentral.
GACGAACGCUGGCGGCGUGCUUAACACAUGCAAGUCGAACGGAAAGGCCAUGCUUUUGUGGGGUACUCGAGUGGCGAACGGGUGAGUAACACGUGAGUAACCUGCCCUUGACUUUGGGAUAACUUCAGGAAACUGGGGCUAAUAACAGAUAGGAGCUCCUGCUGUUAGGUGGGGGUUGGAAAGUUUCGGAGGUUGGGAAUUGCCUCGCGACGUAUCAGAUUGUAGGUGGGGUAGUGGCUUACCGAGGUGUCGGCGCAGAGCCGGCCUGAGAGGGCGGCCGGCCGCCCUGGGACUGAGACACGGCCCAGAGUGCUAGGGGAGGCAGCAGGAGGGAAUCUUCGGCAAUGGACGAAAGUCUGACCGGGCAACGCCGCGUGAGUGAAGAAGGUUUUCGGAUCGUAAAGAUGUGUUGUAAGAGAAGAACGGGUGUGAGAGUGGAAAGUUCACACUGUGACGGUAUCUUACCAGAAAGGGACGGCUAACUACGUG